CUUGCUUCAGCAGAACAUACUAAAACUGGAAGAUUAGCAUACAGAGAAUAUUAGUAUGGCCCUGGCACAAGGAUAGCAUGCAAGUUUGUGAAGUGUUUCAUAUUUUU
Molecule: small nuclear RNA, 107 nt
Filed under: Carlito syrichta (Philippine tarsier)
Lineage: Eukaryota; Metazoa; Chordata; Mammalia; Primates; Tarsiidae
Source: RNAcentral